AUAGUGGCGACGGGUGAGUAACACGUGGGCAAUCUGCCCUGCACUCUGGGACAAGCCCUGGAAACGGGGUCUAAUACCGGAUACUGACCACCGCAGGCAUCUGUGGUGUUCGAAAGCUCCGGCGGUGCAGGAUGAGCCCGCGGCCUAUCAGCUUGUUGGUGAGGUAAUGGCUCACCAAGGCGACGACGGGUAGCCGGCCUGAGAGGGCGACCGGCCACACUGGGACUGAGACACGGCCCAGACUCCUACGGGAGGCAGCAGUGGGGAAUAUUGCACAAUGGGCGCAAGCCUGAUGCAGCGACGCCGCGUGAGGGAUGACGGCCUUCGGGUUGUAAACCUCUUUCAGCAGGGAAGAAGCGAAAGUGACGGUACCUGCAGAAGAAGCGCCGGCUAACUACGUGCCAGCAGCCGCGGUAAUACGUAGGGCGCGAGCGUUGUCCGGAAUUAUUGGGCGUAAAGAGCUCGUAGGCGGCUUGUCACGUCGGUUGUGAAAGCCCGGGGCUUAACCCCGGGUCUGCAGUCGAUACGGGCAGGCUAGAGUUCGGUAGGGGAGAUCGGAAUUCCUGGUGUAGCGGUGAAAUGCGCAGAUAUCAGGAGGAACACCGGUGGCGAAGGCGGAUCUCUGGGCCGAUACUGACGCUGAGGAGCGAAAGCGUGGGGAGCGAACAGGAUUAGAUACCCUGGUAGUCCACGCCGUAAACGGUGGGCACUAGGUGUGGGCAACAUUCCACGUUGUCCGUGCCGCAGCUAACGCAUUAAGUGCCCCGCCUGGGGAGUACGGCCGCAAGGCUAAACUCAAAGGAAUUGACGGGGGCCCGCACAGCGCGAGCAUGUGGCUAUCGACGCAACG
Molecule: ribosomal RNA, 850 nt
Filed under: Streptomyces sp.
Lineage: Bacteria; Bacillati; Actinomycetota; Actinomycetes; Kitasatosporales; Streptomycetaceae
Description: bacterial SSU rRNA
Rfam family: Bacterial small subunit ribosomal RNA
Source: RNAcentral